AGACGCGUAAAUCUUUUUCAUCGAAUCUCCACUUCUCUGGGUUCGCCCAGCGGAAGCACUCUUUUUUUGCUCACAUAAAAUCCUUACCACCUAUAUUUUUUCAAACCUAUACAGCAGUUGUAGAUACAAUAGACGGGCUGCUGUACUUGGUUAAUCCAUAUUUACUUAAACCUGGUAGUUGUACUUGUUGUCAGCUUGUUCUCUAUCGCACG
Non-coding RNA from Cinara cedri, 212 nucleotides. The record is from the annotation of a GenBank genome assembly. Lineage: Eukaryota; Metazoa; Arthropoda; Insecta; Hemiptera; Aphididae.